UAACGAAAUUCCGGUACCGGGUAAUCCAGUAUUCAAAAGACACCGGAUAAUAGUCAGAAUGAGUUUCACGUGACCGAGAAACUCUCUUAGGCCAACGGGAGAUUGUGAUGGAAGGGAAAGCAUUGUUGUCAUGACUGAACAUUGGACUUUUGUAAAUAAAAGCAUUCCAAUAAAAUGGCCAAACGAAUUUGUAAAUGCUUGAAUGUUGUCUUGAACAUAAAUGAGAAAGAAACAGAAGAAGUAGACGGCAAAGGACUGCUAGGAACGGAUGAAAAUGUCUCUGACGAAGAUGUGGAUGAAUUUUUCAAUGGCCAUCUGCUACUUGUAAAGCUGGCAUUUGCUGGAGUGGAAGUGCAACAGCAAAUUUUGAUGAAAACACGCACUGUUGGAGAUUACAAAAUCUACAAAUGUCUGAAUUGUGGUCUUAGCACUCAUGCCAUUCACACUUUCAAAGGACUGGAAAGGGUUGUGAUCAGCAAAGACCUGCUUGGUGAAUCAUCAUAUGAUAAGAUGAGGCAGUCAGAAACUUUCUCAACUGCUUUCAAAAUAGUUUUGAAUGACUUGUCCUCUGAUGGUUCUCCCAAACAUGGCAAUGGGUCCCAGUUGCAAAUGUUCCAGCGAUCUCUUUCUGAUGCCAAUUCUGAAGUGAAUGAUAUAGUGAAAAAAUACCUAGCGUUUGAAGAACAGGCAAUGAAUGAAAGAAUACGGAUUCACACUGAACAACAAAGAGAUAUUUUUGAAAAGCUUCAAGAGAAGGUAAAGAUCGACAAGCAGAAGUUUUUAAGGCUUAUCAACAAAAAUGAACAAAACGCUCUCCAAUCCUCGAUUUCUGAUGCAAUGGAAGAUAUGAAAUUAGUCAAAAAAGAAUCUAUUGAUUCAGACUCAGAAGAACCAGCAUCAAGUUUACCCCAGUUCAAAGGCAGAAAACAACGCCCUCGUCGAAGCAUCCCUAUCGUUGCAAGCUCGCUGCCAAGCAACAGGGCUCCUUCCAGGGUCCUUACACAGCAAGCCGCCUCCUCAUUAGAUAACAACCAAAGAUCGAAAAUGAAAAUGAGACAGAAAUUUCGAAAGGAGGAUGAUACAUUGUUCGAUUUUGAUGGCUUCAAUGAGAACAGAAGUUGUGAACCGUUUUUUGAAUCUGACGAGGACAGCAGUGGUGAUUCGAGUAGCCUUGGAAACAGUGGUGGAUUCGAUUUCACUUCAAACCGAGGUAGCAGCAACAAAAAUCGAAUUUAUGCAACCUCUGUUCCAGUUAGCAUUCCAAUGUAUCGAGAACCUCUGCAUGGUUCUUUCGAAGAAAGGAGUUACAUUGAUUCGGAACCGGCCCCUUCACCGGAGCGAAUGGCUGAAUCAAUCAAAGCCCUCGCAAGGAGUCUGCACGACUCAACCAGUAUAUUUGGCGAACUUCCUGGACCACGAUACAACACAAUGCCUUAUCACUAAUAGAAUUUAUUCGAAAUGGUAAUUGCAUAUUUAAAUUUCUAUUUUCGCGUUGUUUCGAAUGGAGGCCCAGCCUCAUUUGCAGAUUUAUCAUAUUUGUUUUAGAUUUAGUUAUUGUUGACAUAAUGAGGUUUUUGCUAUUAUAUCUUGUAGACCUUUUUCUCCAAGCCUCGAUCAGUGGCGACACCUGGGUGGCGAGGGGUUGCGGCCUCCAAUAUUUUGGAGAACAAUAGUCUUUUGUUCUAUAACAAUGAGAAAAUUUGACGUCAUCUUAUCGAAAAACUUGCCCCCCCCCACCCAAUCUUUGACUAAGUGCCCGCCCAUGGCCUCUAUCCGUCCCAUGAUGUAUUUUUCCAACUUGCUUGGGAUAGUAUAUUUUGUUUGAAAUAUAAAAAGGUAAAACGAUGGCAAAUUCUACAGAGCAUAAAAAUUAGAAAAGUUAGACUGCGAAAUAUAACCUUAAUGACGUAUAACUCCUAAACAAAUUAGCGAAAGUCUAACUACUAGUUUUUAGCUUUCUUACUAGGCCUUUGUGCUUAAUUCAGAGUUCGAACUACAAUUAUCAUCUAGCUAAAUAGCAGAAUUAGCAUCGCGAGCAUGAAGUGCACGUCAUGCUCUGUUUUUAAUCAUUUUAAAAUUAUCCCCAGACAAAAUUCUAAAAAGUGUUUCCCGCUUUUAAAACCCGUUUCCUGAAUCCCUUUGAAAAGUGAGACCGAAAAAUUCUUGCAAAAAUAGAUCAUUUGUUUGAAAACCUCUCCUCGUCCUCUGAAGCCUGUCUUCAUCAGAAAUGGAUUCAUCCUUCUGCUAGACAAUUUUCACAAACUUUGGAAUCCUUACUCAGGAAACAGGGAAAAUAAAAGGGAGUUCGGGGGGGGGGCAUUUAUUUUGUUUUUAUCGGACUUUCUCAUGACUGUUAACUGCAUGAACACCACAUCUUCUGGAUUCUGAUCUUUAUGGGUCCUUUAAUUUUAAUAUGCGAAUCUCCUUUCCUUACUUUUUAUGUGUGCAAUACCUGAAAUUUGUUUCCUGUAGUUUUUGCAAAUUUUUGUUGGACUAAGGUAUUCUGAAAACUGAAAAUUGACAUAGGACGUACUGCAAAUAAUUUAGAUUUUUUUUAAAUUUGUAAAGGUAUCUUCUUUUCAAUUUGAACUAGUAAAAACCCUUUUCCAGAAAAAACUCUCUGUUGAAUCAAUUCUUAACAUAGUAUAAAGAUGUUAGGUUCUUACCCCUUUUUUUAAUAAAUAUUUAUUACGAACACAAACCACCCUUUUGAAUUUUUAUCCUGGACUCUGUGCUGACUCGUGCGAACUUCAACGUUUUUACCACUGAAAGACCCUAGCCCAUAUUCAAAAAGCGAGAGAAUUUGGGGUAUUACCCCUUUUUCACAAUUAAUUCUUUUGUAUGGUUAAGUCAAAGUUAGUUAAAUUCUAUUAACUAUGAUUCAGAUCUGAUCAUCUUAUCAACCUGUGAUUCACACCAUAUUCUGGGAAGGCAACUUUGCAAUUUAAGAGAAUCACAAACCUUGACCACCCCACUCAGACCGUUUUCCCCACAGAGAUAUUUAUUAUCCUUAUGCUCUAAUCAUUGCAAUUUUUGUUUGUAUUGAAUUUCCCUUUCGUAAGUAUUGUGAAGUCUGACGUAAUUGAUAGAUGGCUGAAAUUAGACCUAAGACCUAGUCCUAGCUAGAUUGCUGAAAGACAGGAGAGGACAGUGGUGCAACAGCACCAAUAUUUUAACCCCCCCCCCAUCUUGGCAGGUCAUGGUUCGCGACCCUGAAGUAAUAUUUUCUAUAUUGCCACCACUGUUGAAGUGCCUAUUGCGUCUUUGGUUAGCAAUAUUGCUGUUGUUAUUGAAUUGCUUCAGCACUUGUACAUGGCUGUCAGGGAAUUGUAAUAAAUUCUUUCGUAUUAAUCCAUUGGCGUUGAGAUUUUUACCCCGUCCUCCAGUUUUGACGCUAAAGCUGUUCAAAUUGAACUGGGAGAAGAUGUCGGACGUUACAUCCCUGCUACCUAAACGUAUUUCAAGAUUGUUGAAAACAUCACAAUAUUUGAUAAGCACAAAAUUCACCCCCCCCCCUUCCUCUCUCUACUCACACACAGCUGUUUCUUUUAAUGUUGUCAUAAGAUUUUGAUAACCGUUAUUUUCCAUUCAAGAACCUCCAAACCCCACCAAAGUUUAGUCUAUAUUCUACUGACCCAUUCCACAGCUAUGACACAACAUGGCUUUUUCUAUUUUAUUAUAUAUUCUUUGUAAGGUUUUGUUUAAUAAAUGAAUUUAGCCAUAGUAAUGUUGCAUGAAUAACCUACUUUUUAAAUACUGUGUUUUUGUUGUGUGAAGCCUUCGUGAAGGUUCCAUUUGGCUACCCGUCAUAUUGAAACUUCGCCCCUUCUUAACUGUGCGAAAUGGCUGUGCAAGGCUAGGCUAGGGAAUCAGAUUGUCCAGACAAGUUUCUGAAACGGGGAUGUUACUUCUUUCAAACCAUAGACUCCCGACAACUCGAAACCCUGAUAUCUCGAACAUUCGCUUAGUCGAACUGAUAUUGCAUUCCUCUUGCCAAAUACAUUAAUAUAAUCUCGAUAACUCGAACAUUAGCUGUCUGGAACCAUUUCAUUGGCGCUUGGAUGUUCGAGUCAUAGGGAAUUUACUGUAGAACCUUUUUCUAGACAGGAAUUUCUCGAAUAGGGAGGCAGUCUUCGCUGAUAUGACCAGCUAACAGCCUUUGGUAUUCUGCAGCAUUACGAGAACGUGGUAUUAAGAGGAAAGUUUUAAAGCCAAAGAAUGAUUUCAGCAAUUACCGUAAAUCCUCGAAUUGCCCCCCCCCCCUCGAAAAAGCCCCCCUUCGAAUGAGCCCCCACCCUAGAACUACAAAUUGUCAAAAAGCCCCCCCCUGGAAAAAGCCCCCACUGCUACCGUUUAUUCUCGAAUUGGACCCCUCAAUCUGACGGUUUUUGCCAUCUGAGGUUGCCUAUGGCGUUUUAUUGAAUUACCACGACAAAUUCGUACUUUUGGUAGUAAUUUAUUCAAUGCUCAUAGAGAAAUUCCUUCUAAAAUGAAUAAGGUCUUGUAAUAAUGUAUUCUUAUUGUCUACAAUAAUUUUAUAAGCCCUCCCCCUCGUAUAAGGCCCCCGUCCAAAUAUAUCAAAAAUAAAUAAGCCCCCAGGGGUCUAAUUCGAGGAUUUACGGUAAAGCAAUAAGAAUAUUCUUUAUAAUCACAACGUUAUAAGCUACAACAAGAAAGGUCUUUAUAAGAUUUUAAAAAUGAAAACCCAUGCGAGCUUAAGUUGAGUAAGAUUCUCAAAGAUUGGAUAAUUCUGAGCCUAGUUAUUGUUAACAACUUCAUUCUUCUAAAAAUGUUUAAUUAAGGCCCUCUAUCAAAAGUGGUUUGUUCAACUUCACCCUCUUUUCAGAAAGUUAAACAAAGUGAUGAUUUAAACUUAGCUACCCCUUUAGCUUUCGAGAACAUUUAUUGUAUUUCCAUCACGAUUCGGCAAGUGUGUUUGAAAUAGAUUAAUUCAUGUUAAGCCCUUGUUAAAAAACAAAUUUCUAUAUAAAAUGUUCAGUAAAAAGAAUUCCAAACGGCCCCAGGCGCCUUCGCUACGUCAUCAUGGUCUACGCCGAAAAACGUCAUGUUGGCAGAUUUUGGUAUUGAAGACGCAACAACAGCCACAUUUUACCUCCAAGAAGGAACAACAGUUGGGAAGGCACAAGAACAUGGAGGGCAAGUUAGAAGUGCCGCCAGUUUUCGACUGCUUGCAGGAUAUUUAUGGGCCAGUAAAUGACAGAAUAAAGAAAAGAUAUGAGAAGAUAAUUUCAAGAUUUCAAUUGAAAUAUGGAUCAGCACCAGAGGUUUUUGUCAGAGCACCAGGGAGAGUCAAUCUCAUAGG
This is an RNA transcript of Rhopilema esculentum, 5323 nucleotides long. It is a transcript of the gene named N-acetylgalactosamine kinase, with no coding region annotated. NCBI's taxonomy places the organism in Eukaryota, Metazoa, Cnidaria, Scyphozoa, Rhizostomeae, Rhizostomatidae. The record is from RefSeq and is a predicted model, not a curated record.